This 81-nucleotide transfer RNA is filed under the name Pseudomonadota bacterium. RNAcentral's name for it is "tRNA-Leu". It matches the Rfam family "tRNA". Rfam says of the family: Transfer RNA (tRNA) molecules are approximately 80 nucleotides in length. Their secondary structure includes four short double-helical elements and three loops (D, anti-codon, and T loops). Further hydrogen bonds mediate the characteristic L-shaped molecular structure. tRNAs have two regions of fundamental functional importance: the anti-codon, which is responsible for specific mRNA codon recognition, and the 3' end, to which the tRNAs corresponding amino acid is attached (by aminoacyl-tRNA synthetases). tRNAs cope with the degeneracy of the genetic code in two manners: having more than one tRNA (with a specific anti-codon) for a particular amino acid; and 'wobble' base-pairing, i.e. permitting non-standard base-pairing at the 3rd anti-codon position. The record is from RNAcentral. RNAcentral also lists the same sequence under 1 other name. Lineage: Bacteria; Pseudomonadati; Pseudomonadota.
GCCCGGGUGGCGGAACGGUAGACGCACGGGACUUAAAAUCCUGGGCCGGAAGGCGUGCGGGUUCGAAUCCCGCCCCGGGCA